CCAAAGGCUCUUUUCAGAGCCACCCACGGUGUCAGCGGGAGCUG
This is a non-coding RNA of Oryctolagus cuniculus (rabbit), 44 nucleotides long. The record is from Rfam. NCBI's taxonomy places the organism in Eukaryota, Metazoa, Chordata, Mammalia, Lagomorpha, Leporidae.